This 701-nucleotide ribosomal RNA is filed under the name Salmonella enterica subsp. enterica serovar Newport. Its description in RNAcentral is "partial 23S ribosomal RNA". It matches the Rfam family "Bacterial large subunit ribosomal RNA", at positions 911 to 1613 of the family's 2925-position model. The record is from RNAcentral. Lineage: Bacteria; Pseudomonadati; Pseudomonadota; Gammaproteobacteria; Enterobacterales; Enterobacteriaceae.
UGUUUCGGCUAGGGGGCCAUCCCGGCUUACCAACCCGAUGCAAACUGCGAAUACCGGAGAAUGUUAUCACGGGAGACACACGGCGGGUGCUAACGUCCGUCGUGAAGAGGGAAACAACCCAGACCGCCAGCUAAGGUCCCAAAGUCAUGGUUAAGUGGGAAACGAUGUGGGAAGGCCCAGACAGCCAGGAUGUUGGCUUAGAAGCAGCCAUCAUUUAAAGAAAGCGUAAUAGCUCACUGGUCGAGUCGGCCUGCGCGGAAGAUGUAACGGGGCUAAACCAUGCACCGAAGCUGCGGCAGCGACACUGUGUGUUGUUGGGUAGGGGAGCGUUCUGUAAGCCUGUGAAGGUGGCCUGUGAGGGUUGCUGGAGGUAUCAGAAGUGCGAAUGCUGACAUAAGUAACGAUAAAGCGGGUGAAAAGCCCGCUCGCCGGAAGACCAAGGGUUCCUGUCCAACGUUAAUCGGGGCAGGGUGAGUCGACCCCUAAGGCGAGGCCGAAAGGCGUAGUCGAUGGGAAACAGGUUAAUAUUCCUGUACUUGGUGUUACUGCGAAGGGGGGACGGAGAAGGCUAUGUUGGCCGGGCGACGGUUGUCCCGGUUUAAGCGUGUAGGCUGGUUUUCCAGGCAAAUCCGGAAAAUCAAGGCUGAGGCGUGAUGACGAGGCACUACGGUGCUGAAGCAACAAAUGCCCUGCUUCCAGGA